Molecule: ribosomal RNA, 358 nt
Filed under: uncultured bacterium
Lineage: Bacteria
Description: bacterial SSU rRNA
Rfam family: Bacterial small subunit ribosomal RNA
Source: RNAcentral
AGCGAACGCUGGCGGCGUGGUUAAGGCAUGCAAGUCGAGCGAUCCCGCAGCAAUGCGGGAUAGCGGCAAACGGGUGAGUAACGCGUAGGUAACCUACCCUGAAGUGUGGGACAACCCUGCGAAAGCGGGGCUAAUACCACAUGCGCUCGCAGACUGCAUGGUCUGCGAGGAAAGAUGGCCUCGACCGAAAGGUUGCUAUCACUUUAGGAGGGACCUGCCGCCCAUCAGCUAGUUGGUAGGGUAACGGCCUACCAAGGCAUAUGACGGGUAGCUAGCCUUAGAGGGCGGUUAGCCACACUGGGACUGAGACACUCGCCCAGACUCCUACGGGAGGCUGCAGUCGAGAAUUAUUUGGCAA